GACGAACGCUGGCGGCGUGCUUAACACAUGCAAGUCGAACGGAAAGGCCCUGCUUUUGUGGGGUGCUCGAGUGGCGAACGGGUGAGUAACACGUGAGUAACCUGCCCUUGACUUUGGGAUAACUUCAGGAAACUGGGGCUAAUACCGGAUAGGAGCUCCUGCUGCAUGGUGGGGGUUGGAAAGUUUCGGCGGUUGGGGAUGGACUCGCGGCUUAUCAGCUUGUUGGUGGGGUAGUGGCUUACCAAGGCUUUGACGGGUAGCCGGCCUGAGAGGGUGAACGGCCACAUUGGGACUGAGAUACGGCCCAGACUCCUACGGGAGGCAGCAGGGGGGAAUAUUGCACAAUGGGCGGAAGCCUGAUGCAGAAACGCCGCGUGCGGGAUGACGGCCUUCGGGUUGUAAACCGCUUUCGCCUGUGACGAAGAGUGAGUGACGGUAAUGGGUAAAGAAGCACCGGCUAACUACGUG
This 468-nucleotide ribosomal RNA is filed under the name uncultured bacterium. RNAcentral describes it as "partial 16S ribosomal RNA". It matches the Rfam family "Bacterial small subunit ribosomal RNA", at positions 28 to 507 of the family's 1533-position model. The record is from RNAcentral.